Molecule: long non-coding RNA, 1692 nt
Filed under: Sus scrofa (pig)
Lineage: Eukaryota; Metazoa; Chordata; Mammalia; Artiodactyla; Suidae
Description: lncRNA (ENSSSCG00025008185.1)
Source: RNAcentral
AUAUUUAGGUGCUUCAGUGUUGGAUGUAUAUAUUUACAAUUGUUAUAGCCUCUUGAUGAAUUGACUCCUUUGUCAUUUUAUAAUGACCUACUUUGUCUCUUUGACAUUUUUUGAUUUAAAGUUUAUUUUGUAUAAGUAUAGGCACUGGUUCUCUCUUGGGGAUUACCACUUGCAUAAAAUAUCUUUUUUCAUCCCUUCACUUUGUUUGUUUGUUUGUUUGUUUGCUUUUUAAGGCUUCACCCAUGGCAUAUGGAGGUUCUCAGGGUAGGGGUCAAAUUAGAGCUACAGCUGCCAGCUUACACCACAGCCACAGCAAUGUGGGAUCCUAGCCUCAUCUGUGACCUACACCACAGCUCACAACAAUGCCAGAUUCUUAACCCACUGAGCGAUGUCAGGGAUUGAAUCCACAACCUCAUGGUUCCUAGAAAGAUUUUUUUCUGCUGCUCCAUGACGGGAACUUCCAUCCAUUCACUGUCAACUACGUGUGUCCUUAAACUAAAAUGGGUAUCAUGUAGGCAGCAUAUUGCUGGGUUUUUUUUCCUUUUAUCCAUUCAGCCAGUCUGUCUUUUGAUUGGGGAAUUUAAUCCAUUAAUAUUUAAAGUAACUAUUACAGAUAAGAACCUUCUAUUGUGAUGUAAAAAUUAUUUUGGUAAUGUUUGUAGUUCUUUUCUUCCUCUCUCGAUGUCUUCCUUUGUGAUUUGAUAGUUUCCUGUAGUGGUAUGUUUUGAUUAUAUUCUUAUUAUGUGGUUUGUAUCUACCAUAAGAUUUUUGUUUUGUGGUUACAAAGAAGCUUACCUAAAACACCUUAUAGUUAAAACAGUCAAUUUUAAGCUAUAACAACUUAACUUCAAUUGCAUUAAAAACUCUGCACUUUUACUUCUAUUUUACAUUGCUUUACAAUUUACCUCUUUUUUCUUGUGUAUCCAUUAACAAAUUAUUACACCUUUGGUUAUUUUUAAUAGUUUUUUUGUUUUUUUAAUUUUUUUCCCCUAAAGUUAAAAGUAGUUUAUGAACUACCAUUACAGUGUUAAGGUAUUUUGAAGUUGACUAUCUAUAUGUAUUUACCAGUGAAUUUAAUAUUUUCAAAUGUUGUUAUGUUACUAACAACAUCCUUUCAUUUCAACUUGAAAAACUUCAUUUAAUUUUCCUUGUGAAGCAGGUUUAGUGGUGACGAGUAUUUCAGCUUUUUUUUUUUUUUUUUUUGGUUUUCAAAUUAUUUCUUUUUCCUUCAUUUUUAAGUAUAGUUUUGCCAAAUACAGUAUUCUUGGUUGGCUGUUAUUUUUCUUUCAGCGCUAUGAGUAUAUCAUCCUAGUCUCUCCUUAGCUGUAAGAUUUCUUCUGGUAAAUCCACUGAUACCCUUAUGAGGGUGCUCUUGUAUGUGAUGAAUCUCUCUUCUCUUACUUCUUUCUAUUUUUUUGUAUUUGACUAUGAAUCAUUUAAGAAAAGUUAAUGGCAAACUUUUUCAAAAAAUAAGAGGAGAAGACCCUUUCAAAAUCACCUUAUGAGGCCAGAAUUACCUUGAUUCCAAAACAGACAAAAGCACAAAAGAAUAAAUCACUAGGUCAAUAUCCUUGAUAAAUAUAUAUGCAAAACUCAACAAAAUACUUGAAAGUUAAAUCCAACAACACAUUGAAAACAUUAAAAUGAUCACAGGCCAUGGGGAAAAAAAAAAACAAGGGGCAUUUAUCCCCA